CAGCCGUAAACUAUGCUCGCUAGGUGUCAGGCAUGGCGCGACCGUGUCUGGUGCCGCAGGGAAGCCGUGAAGCGAGCCACCUGGGAAGUACGGCCGCAGGGCUGAAACUUAAAGGAUUGGCGAGGGAGCACAACAACGGGUGGAGCCUGCGGUUUAAUGGACUCAACGCCGGACAACUCACCGGGGACGACAGCAAUAUGUAGGCCAGGCUGAAGACCUUGCCUGAAUCGCUGAGAGGAGGUGCAUGGCGUAGACGUCU
RNAcentral lists this ribosomal RNA (259 nucleotides) under uncultured archaeon. RNAcentral describes it as "partial 16S ribosomal RNA". It matches the Rfam family "Archaeal small subunit ribosomal RNA", at positions 748 to 1009 of the family's 1478-position model. The record is from RNAcentral.